GGUUCUAUGGUGUAAUGGUUAGCACUAAGGACUCUGAAUUCUGAGUUCAAAUCUCGGUAGGACCU
This 65-nucleotide transfer RNA is filed under the name Salmo salar (Atlantic salmon). It matches the Rfam family "tRNA". Rfam says of the family: Transfer RNA (tRNA) molecules are approximately 80 nucleotides in length. Their secondary structure includes four short double-helical elements and three loops (D, anti-codon, and T loops). The record is from Rfam by way of RNAcentral. Lineage: Eukaryota; Metazoa; Chordata; Actinopteri; Salmoniformes; Salmonidae.